This 482-nucleotide long non-coding RNA is filed under the name Capsicum annuum. RNAcentral's name for it is "long non-coding RNA (CANN_LNC010897)". Lineage: Eukaryota; Viridiplantae; Streptophyta; Magnoliopsida; Solanales; Solanaceae. The record is from RNAcentral.
UUGUCUCCGUUGAUUUUGUCGUAUCUGCUCCAUUAUUGCUCCUUAUCUUAUCUUUCCAGCUGGCAUUUUGUCUUCUUGAUUUUUAUUCUAGAUGUACCUCUGGAAUAAUAUUAUCUUCUCCAUUACACCUCGAACAUUGGUGAUCUGGAUAUUUGUGUCCAAUUAUCUUACAAUAUCUUGUUAGCAGUCCGUCUGAAAUAAAUCCUUUUUUUAUUGCUCUUGCGGUAGAUUGUUUUUCUGGGUUGAGUAGCGUCAUUAUCCAUUGUCUUACAUCUUCCAUAUCUGCUUGUCGUAGCUCUUUUGAAUUUGAGUAAAUCAUUUGAUGAUCUCUCGAAUAAUAGCUCCAUAUUGGGUUUCCGUUAGUAUAAUUAUUUGCUAGUUCUUGAAUGAUCGUAGCUAGUCCAAUAAGUCGUUUAUUUGCAUAAAAAUCUGGUAUCUCAAUUCUGGGUAUCUCCGGUUGCUGCGUAAUAUCUUCUGGUAUA